This 2124-nucleotide ribosomal RNA is filed under the name Triticum aestivum (bread wheat). Its description in RNAcentral is "partial small subunit ribosomal RNA". Lineage: Eukaryota; Viridiplantae; Streptophyta; Magnoliopsida; Poales; Poaceae. The record is from RNAcentral.
AUGGCGGACGCCUGGGGCCGGGCCAAGCGCGCGCUCGCCACCAAGCUCUGCAUCCGCGUGCCGGACCGCCAGAGGGCCAUCGAGGACGCCCCGCCGCCGCCGCCGGGACGCGACGCGCAUCAUCCACCGUCGGCCGCGGCGCCGGGCCCUGCGACGGGGGAGGAGGAGAGGGCCAGGUCGCCGUCCGUGUCCUCGCGGCGGCUCUCCAGCUCCGGCAGCCGGGGCUCCAAGAGGGUAUGCGCCAUCUGCCUUGGCAGUAUGAGGACAGGGCACGGACAGGCCCUGUUUACUGCUGAAUGCUCCCAUAAGUUCCAUUUCCAUUGCAUCACUUCAAAUGUUAGGCAUGGCAACCAUAUCUGCCCAAUAUGCCGUGCCGACUGGAAAGAACUGCCCUUCCAGGGACCUCAACUUGCAGAUGCCACUCAUGGGAGAGCUAGAGUAAGCCCGGUAAAUUGGCCCCAAGACGACGGACACAUGGCUGUUAUCCGCAGGCUUUCCAACUCAUACAGUGGAAAUCUGCUGGAGCAAUUUCCUGUCUUCCGUACUCCUGAGGCAGACAUUUUCAAUGACGAUGAGCCAAUAGAUAUUCAGUCUGAAACUGUGGAGGAGAACAAUGCAGUUACUGGUUUGGUUGAAAUCAAGACAUAUUCAGAAGUGCAAGCCAUACAGCAAUCAGUGACCCAGAAGGUCUUUUCUAUCUUGAUCCAUCUCAAGGCUCCAAAGUCCUUGGAGUCCGUGAGCUCCCGUGCACCUCUUGACCUUGUGACCGUGCUUGAUGUCAGUGGCAGCAUGAAAGGGGCCAAACUUGCGCUUCUCAAGAAGGCAAUGGGCUUUGUCAUCCAGACGCUUGGACCCAAUGACCGGCUGUCUGUCAUUGCCUUCUCGUCUACGGCACGGAGGCUCUUUCCCCUUCGCCAAAUGAACGUCAACGGACGAAUGCAAGCCAUGCAGGCUGUGAACUCCCUUGUUGAUGGUGGCGGCACAAACAUUUCUGAUGGGCUAAAGAAGGGUGCUAAAGUCAUUGAGCACCGUCGGCUGAAGAAUUCUGUUUGCAGCAUCAUCCUUCUGUCAGAUGGUCAAGACACAUAUUCAGUACCAACCUUUGACGACGGGGUUCAGACAAACCACAGCAUGCUUGUUCCUCCCUCAAUCCUGCCUGGAACAGGUAAUCAUGUGCAAAUCCACACCUUUGGUUUCGGUGCAGAUCAUGACUCGGCUGCGAUGCAUGCUAUUGCUGAGACAUCUAGCGGCACAUUCUCAUUUAUUGAUGCUGAAGGCUCAAUACAGAACGGAUUUGCUCAGUGUAUUGGUGGCCUCCUCAGUGUUGUGGUCAAGGAGAUGCGGCUGGGCGUCGAGUGUGUAGACGAAGGCGUGGUACUUACCUCCAUCAAGUCAGGCGGCUAUGCAAGUGAAGUAGCCAUGGAUGGACGUAACGGGUCAGUCGAUAUCGGUGACCUGUAUGCAGAUGAAGAGAGGGGGUUUCUGAUCACCCUACAUGUCCCAGCUGCACAGGGGCAGCAGACUGUACUGAUCAAACCAAGCUGUACAUACCAAGAUGCAGUUACAACAGAGAGCAUUCAGGUACAGGGUGAAGAAGUGAGUGUUGAGCGUCCUGCAUACUCUGUGGACUGCAAAAUGUCUCCUGAGGUUGAGCGCGAGUGGCACCGUGUUCAAGCUAUGGAGGACAUGUCCGCUGCGCGGGCUGCAGCCGACGGAGGCGAUUUCUCCCAGGCCGUGUCGAUCCUCGAAGGCCGCACGAGGAUCCUGGAGUCACAGGCAGCACAAUCUUCAGACAGCCAAUGCCUGGCGCUGAUCACAGAGCUGAGGGAGAUGCAGGAGAGGGUGGAGAGCCGGCGGAGGUAUGACGAAUCAGGAAGGGCCUUCAUGCUGGCAGGCCUGAGCUCACACUCAUGGCAGAGAGCCACGGCACGCGGCGACUCGACGGAGCUCAACACCCAAAUUCACACCUACCAGACGCCGUCGAUGGUCGACAUGCUGCACCGCUCGCAGACUCUUGUGCCCGCCGUCGUUGAAAUGCUGAACCGCUCCCCGACCGUUGCUCCUUCACGCGGCUCCGGCAGGUCGGUGAGGUCGACAAAAUCUUUCUCCGAGCGGCUGGCGUGA